Molecule: transfer RNA, 72 nt
Filed under: Pyronema omphalodes CBS 100304
Lineage: Eukaryota; Fungi; Ascomycota; Pezizomycetes; Pezizales; Pyronemataceae
Description: tRNA-Pro
Rfam family: tRNA
About the family: Transfer RNA (tRNA) molecules are approximately 80 nucleotides in length. Their secondary structure includes four short double-helical elements and three loops (D, anti-codon, and T loops). Further hydrogen bonds mediate the characteristic L-shaped molecular structure. tRNAs have two regions of fundamental functional importance: the anti-codon, which is responsible for specific mRNA codon recognition, and the 3' end, to which the tRNAs corresponding amino acid is attached (by aminoacyl-tRNA synthetases). tRNAs cope with the degeneracy of the genetic code in two manners: having more than one tRNA (with a specific anti-codon) for a particular amino acid; and 'wobble' base-pairing, i.e. permitting non-standard base-pairing at the 3rd anti-codon position.
Source: RNAcentral
GCCCAAAUGGUCUAGUGGUAUGAUUCUCGCUUCGGGUGUGGGAGGUCCCCGGUUCAAACCCGGGUUUGGGUU